AAAACAAGCAAAUUUUAUUAAAGGAAAAUUUUGCAGGUUUAAGGUUUGCAGGUGAAAUUUUGUAGGUGAAAAGGUUUACUUUUCACCAGUCUGUUCUGGCAUGCUUCUAAUGAUGUCAGAGUCACCUAAAAAAUAUUAAAAAAAAAAAAAAAAACCAGUAAUUUUACAAUUCAUUUAAUAGCAACUGGUACCAUAAAAUUUCUCUACCUUUGGUUAUCCCUUCUGUAGACAAUGGUCUGCAAAUUAGCACUGACUUUUUGCAAAAGUUAUCACAUUAGCUGUACUGUCAUUUUUCUUAAGGUUGACCAAAGAUAACCUAGAAUCACAGCCAUUAUAUAAUCACAUAAAAUGAUCAUAUAAUAAAAUUGGUUUAUCACCAGCAUUUAUAAAACCAGACCUAGGGAAAGAACUAGGUUUGGGGACACAUGCAUGGUCUUAAUAUAGCGAAUGUUUAGCCUGUCCUGACUAUUACAAAAUCAGAACAGCGAGAAUAUUCGCAGUAUUCUAUGAAUCAAAGAUUCACAAUUGGAAAACAGAAUCAUGUAGAUUUUUCGGCACUUUUUUUUUUCUCAAGCUAAUUUUACAUGUCUGUUCUCAAGAAGCAAUAAUUACUUUCUUCUGUUUUGCCAGAUUAUUCUCUCCUUAUAAUUUCACCUUUUACCAAAUCUAUGUCAUUAUUUCAUAGGUACUUCAUCAAAUGAAAUUCAUUAUCUGACAGUAAAAAUUUUAACUCAUAAUAAAGCCAAUUAUAAUGUAUUGGCAUUCAUUACCAAUUCUCUACAAAAUACAACUACACGAUAUGCCUUGCUAGAUCCAUAUUCUAUCUGAAUUUAGGAACCAAAGACAUUUGCGUAGUAAGAAAUACUUGUCCAGACAUUAGAAAGGCAAAAAAAAAAAAAGACUUUAUGAUUUAAAAAGCAUACCUGGAUCAAUGAUAGCCAGUGUGCACACUCUGUAGUAUUUUCCGCAUGCUGUGCCCAGUUCAAUAUUAUUGCCACUGUAGUGAUGGACACCAGUUUUAGCCAACAUAGCAUAGUACUCUAUUUCAGAUUUCCUUUGGGAACCAAAAAGGGCAAAUAAAUAAAUGCGAUACCAAGUGACUGACAGACUAAAUGUUACUACUUCUUUUACUAGUGUUAAUGUUGUUAAGGCCUUCAAAAAGUAACAAAAUCACAUAUUACUCUUAAAAACAUCACAUUCAUUAUCCAAUACAAACCAACAUUUGUAUGUAUCCCUUGCAAGUGAAGGGGCAACCAGCAAAUAUCUACUCAACCCCUACUAUGUUUAAGACAGUAUCAACACUCACGGAAGAGGGUAAGAUGCAAAUAAAUGAAAGCAAAGCAUUAUUUAGCAUUAGUAAGGACCACAUACUUUAUAUUUCCAUGACAAUCUCUAAAGUAGGUAUUAUAUACUUUUUUUUUUGAGAUGGAAUCUCAUUCUGUCGCUCAGGCAGAUCGUGCAGUGGCACGAUCUCAGCUCACUGCAACUUCCACCUCCCGAGUUCAAGUGAUUCUCCUGCCUCAGCCUCUCAAGUAUCUGGGAUUACAGGCAUGCACCACCACACCCAGCUAAUUUUUUAUAUUUUUGGUAGACGGGGUUUCACCAUGAAUCGGAAAGGAGUCCUAUACUAUCUUGCCACUCAAUUAUGUGGAUCCACAUACCAGCAAUAGUGCUACAAUGUAUUAGUUAAAAAAGCGCCUCAAGCCGGGCACAGUGGCUCACACCUGUGAUCUCAGCAGUUUGGGAGGCCGAGGUGGGUGGAUUACCUAAGGUCAGGAGUCCGAGACCAGCCUGGCCAGCAUGGCGAAACCCCAUCUCUACUAAAAAUACAAAAAUUAGCCAGGCAUGGUGGCAGGUGCCUGUAAUCCCAGCUACUCGGGAGGGUGAGGCAGAAUUGCUUGAACCUGGGAGGCGGAGGUUGCAGUGAGCUUAGAUUGUGCCAUUGUACUCCAGCCGGGGUGACAAGAGCAAAACUCUGUCUUAAAAAAAAUAAAAUAA
RNAcentral lists this non-coding RNA (1998 nucleotides) under Pan troglodytes (chimpanzee). Lineage: Eukaryota; Metazoa; Chordata; Mammalia; Primates; Hominidae. The record is from RNAcentral.